This 79-nucleotide transfer RNA is filed under the name Bacteroidota bacterium. RNAcentral's name for it is "Bacteroidetes bacterium (activated sludge metagenome) tRNA-Leu". It matches the Rfam family "tRNA". From Rfam's summary of the family: Transfer RNA (tRNA) molecules are approximately 80 nucleotides in length. Their secondary structure includes four short double-helical elements and three loops (D, anti-codon, and T loops). RNAcentral also lists the same sequence under 3 other names. The record is from RNAcentral. Lineage: Bacteria; Pseudomonadati; Bacteroidota.
GCCCAGCUGGCGGAAUGGUAGACGCGCUGGUCUCAAACACCUGUGGGAAACCGUGCCGGUUCGAGUCCGGCGCUGGGUA